ACGCUGGCGGCGUGCCUAAUACAUGCAAGUAGAACGCUGAAGGAGGAGCUUGCUUCUCCGGAUGAGUUGCGAACGGGUGAGUAACGCGUAGGUAACCUGCCUGGUAGCGGGGGAUAACUAUUGGAAACGAUAGCUAAUACCGCAUAAGAGUAGAUGUCGCAUGACAUUUGCUUAAAAGGUGCAAUUGCAUCACUACCAGAUGGACCUGCGUUGUAUUAGCUAGUUGGUGGGGUAACGGCUCACCAAGGCGACGAUACAUAGCCGACCUGAGAGGGUGAUCGGCCACACUGGGACUGAGACACGGCCCAGACUCCUACGGGAGGCAGCAGUAGGGAAUCUUCGGCAAUGGACGGAAGUCUGACCGAGCAACGCCGCGUGAGUGAAGAAGGUUUUCGGAUCGUAAAGCUCUGUUGUAAGAGAAGAACGAGUGUGAGAGUGGAAAGUUCACACUGUGACGGUAUCUUACCAGAAAGGGACGGCUAACUACGUGCCAGCAGCCGCGGUAAUACGUAGGUCCCGAGCGUUGUCCGGAUUUAUUGGGCGUAAAGCGAGCGCAGGCGGUUAGAUAAGUCUGAAGUUAAAGGCUGUGGCUUAACCAUAGUACGCUUUGGAAACUGUUUAACUUGAGUGCAAGAGGGGAGAGUGGAAUUCCAUGUGUAGCGGUGAAAUGCGUAGAUAUAUGGAGGAACACCGGUGGCGAAAGCGGCUCUCUGGCUUGUAACUGACGCUGAGGCUCGAAAGCGUGGGGAGCAAACAGGAUUAGAUACCCCUGGUAGUCCACGCCGUAAACGAUGAGUGCUAGGUGUUAGACCCUUUCCGGGGUUUAGUGCCGCAGCUAACGCAUUAAGCACUCCGCCUGGGGAGUACGACCGCAAGGUUGAAACUCAAAGGAAUUGACGG
RNAcentral lists this ribosomal RNA (900 nucleotides) under uncultured bacterium. RNAcentral's name for it is "bacterial SSU rRNA". It matches the Rfam family "Bacterial small subunit ribosomal RNA", at positions 33 to 916 of the family's 1533-position model. The record is from RNAcentral.